UGGGGAAUCUUGCGCAAUGGGCGAAAGCCUGACGCAGCGACGCCGCGUGAGGGAGGAAGGCCUUCGGGUUGUAAACCUCUUUCAGGAGGGACGAAGCUACUCGGGUGAAUAGCCCAGAGGGUGACGGUACCUCCAGAAGAAGCCCCGGCUAACUACGUGCCAGCAGCCGCGGUAAUACGUAGGGGGCAAGCGUUGUCCGGAUUUACUGGGCGUAAAGAGCGUGUAGGCGGCCAUACAGGUCCGUUGUGAAAACUGGAGGCUUAACCUUCAGACGUCGACGGAAACCGUGUGGCUAGAGUCCGGAAGAGGAGAGUGGAAUUCCUGGUGUAGCGGUGAAAUGCGCAGAUAUCAGGAAGAACACCAAUGGCGAAGGGCAGCUCUCUGGGACGGUACUGACGCUGAGACGCGAAAGCGUGGGGGAGCGAACAGGAUUAGGAUACCCUGGUAGUCCACGCCGUAAACGAUGGGUGCUAGGGUGUGGGAGGUGUCGGACUCCUCCGUGCCGUAGCUAACG
This 514-nucleotide ribosomal RNA is filed under the name uncultured bacterium. Its description in RNAcentral is "bacterial SSU rRNA". It matches the Rfam family "Bacterial small subunit ribosomal RNA", at positions 355 to 857 of the family's 1533-position model. The record is from RNAcentral.